This 433-nucleotide ribosomal RNA is filed under the name uncultured bacterium. Its description in RNAcentral is "partial 16S ribosomal RNA". It matches the Rfam family "Bacterial small subunit ribosomal RNA", at positions 29 to 507 of the family's 1533-position model. The record is from RNAcentral.
AACGAACGCUGGCGGCAUGCCUAACACAUGCAAGUCGAACGAGACCUUCGGGUCUAGUGGCGCACGGGUGCGUAACGCGUGGGAACCUGCCCUUAGGUUCGGAAUAACUCCCCGAAAGGGGUGCUAAUACCGGAUAAUGUCUUCGGACCAAAGAUUUAUCGCCUUUGGACGGGCCCGCGUUGGAUUAGCUAGUUGGUAGGGUAAAAGCCUACCAAGGCGACGAUCCAUAGCUGGUCUGAGAGGAUGAUCAGCCACACUGGGACUGAGACACGGCCCAGACUCCUACGGGAGGCAGCAGUGGGGAAUAUUGGACAAUGGGCGAAAGCCUGAUCCAGCAAUGCCGCGUGAGUGAUGAAGGCCUUAGGGUUGUAAAGCUCUUUUACCCGGGAUGAUAAUGACAGUACCGGAAGAAUAAGCUCCGGCUAACUCCGUG